RNAcentral lists this ribosomal RNA (407 nucleotides) under uncultured bacterium. Its description in RNAcentral is "partial 16S ribosomal RNA". It matches the Rfam family "Bacterial small subunit ribosomal RNA", at positions 28 to 526 of the family's 1533-position model. The record is from RNAcentral.
GACGAACGCUGGCGGCGUGCCUAAUACAUGCAAGUAGGACGCAGUUGCGAACGGGUGAGUAACGCGUAGGUAACUACCUAUACGAGGGGGAUAACUAUUGGAAACGAUAGCUAAUACCGCAUACUAGCAGAUGGACCUGCGUGGUAUUAGCUAGUAGGUAGGGUAAUGGCCUACCUAGGCAAAGAUACAUAGCCGACCUGAGAGGGGGAUCGGACAAAAUGGGACUGAGAAACGGCCCAGAAUACGACGGGAGGCAGCAGGAGGGAAGCUUCGGCAAUGGGGGGAACCCUUAACGGGCAACGCCGCGGGAGUGAAGAAGGUUUUCGGAUCGUAAAGCUCUGUUGUUAAGGAAGCGGUACUUAACCAGAAAGGGACGGCUAACUACGUGCCAGCAGCCGCGGUAAUAC